Molecule: ribosomal RNA, 253 nt
Filed under: uncultured bacterium
Lineage: Bacteria
Description: partial 16S ribosomal RNA
Rfam family: Bacterial small subunit ribosomal RNA
Source: RNAcentral
UACGAAGGGGGCUAGCGUUGCUCGGAAUCACUGGGCGUAAAGCGCACGUAGGCGGAUCUUUAAGUCAGGGGUGAAAUCCCGGGGCUCAACCUCGGAACUGCCUUUGAUACUGGGGAUCUCGAGUCCGGGAGAGGUGAGUGGAAUUGCGAGUGUAGAGGUGAAAUUCGUAGAUAUUCGCAAGAACACCAGUGGCGAAGGCGGCUCACUGGCCCGAUACUGACGCUGAGGUGCGAAAGCGUGGGGAGCAAACAGG